GGGCCCGCACAAGCGGUGGAGUAUGUGGUUUAAUUCGAUGCAACGCGAAGAACCUUACCAGGGUUUGACAUCCUGCGAAUCUCUUGGAAACGAGAGAGUGCCUUCGGGAACGCAGUGACAGGUGGUGCAUGGCUGUCGUCAGCUCGUGUCGUGAGAUGUUGGGUUAAGUCCCGCAACGAGCGCAACCCACGUCUUUAGUUGCCAGCAUUUAGUUGGGCACUCUAGAGAGACUGCCGGUGAUAAACCGGAGGAAGGUGUGGAUGACGUCAAGUCAUCAUGCCCCUUACAUCCUGGGCUACACACGUACUACAAUGGUAGGUACAGAGGGAAGCCACCCCGCGAGGGGGAG
RNAcentral lists this ribosomal RNA (349 nucleotides) under uncultured bacterium. RNAcentral describes it as "bacterial SSU rRNA". It matches the Rfam family "Bacterial small subunit ribosomal RNA", at positions 917 to 1267 of the family's 1533-position model. The record is from RNAcentral.